AACUGUCCUGAUGGAUACUUCUGUCCUCCUGGUACCGGACAUCCAAACUCAUUUCCGUGCCAGUCUGGCUUCUUUAGGAAUGACUCGUAUGGACAUGGAGGAGAAGCUUGUGUGGAAUGUCCUCCUGGUCACUACUGUCCUACUCUGGCCACACACACUCCUACAGUCUGUCCACAGGGUUUCUACUGUACUGAGGGGAGCUCAGCCCCAGAGCCGUGUGAAGAGGGCACAUUUGGAUCCCGGCAAGCCCUGAGUGAAGCAUCACAGUGUACCCCAUGUAGUGGGGGGAAAUAUUGCACCGGUUUGGGCAAAUCUGAGCCCACAGGGGACUGUGAAGGAGGAUUCUAUUGUAGACAGAGGUCUACGAGUCCAGUUCCUCCUGAUGGUCAUGAAGGGGGUGUGUGUCCUGCUGGCAGUUUCUGCCCACCGGGUUCAGUUCACCCACAGCCCUGCCCUUCAGGAACCUACAGUAACAGCACGGGUCUCCAACAUGCAGAGCAGUGUGUCCACUGUCCUCCAGGUUAUUAUUGUUUAGGAACAAACUCUACAUCCCCUUCUGGUCCAUGCUUUGCGGGGUAUUACUGCACCGGAGGUUCAGCCACACCAGUCCAACAUGAAGCUGAGGAGGGACACUACUCUUUGGAAGGAGCUGUGAGGGCCGAACUGUGCCCAUUGGGAACCUUCCAACCAGUAAGUCACAUGUUUAGAGCAUUUACACCAUGUAACAUUUUCAUUGUAUUGUAUUCAUUGAAUCAAUUUAAUUAAAUUUCAGUUUCAUUUUCCAUUUUACUUCUUUUCCAUCAGGGAAGAGGCUACAACUCAUGCAUUGAAUGCCAAUCAGGAAGAUUGUGCAACAAGACAGGACUAUCCCAGCAGCCCCUGUGCCCACCUGGAAACUUCUGCCCUGCUGGAUCCUUAAUUGCUCACCCAUGUCCCCCUGGUACAUACACGGCAAGCUCAGGGGUGGAGGAUCUGCAGCACUGCGGCCCAUGUGAUGCUGGUCAGUACUGCCGCUCUCCUGGACUGACUGCUCCUCAGGGACCCUGUGAGCCUGGUUUUUACUGCACCGGUGGAUCUCAUGUUGCCUCUCCGAUUAGCUCCAGAUAUGGUGACAUAUGCCCCAUGGGUUAUUACUGUCCAGCAGGCACCAGGCACCCUCAUGAGUACCCCUGUCCUCCUGGAACCUGGAGUAAUGCACUGGGGGCCCAAAAUGUGUCAUCGUGCUGGCUCUGCCCUGCUGGAUUCUUCUGCAACACCUCUGGCCUCACUCAGCCCACUGGAAUAUGUGCUCCAGGUACAAAAUGACAUAAUCUCAAAUUCCUCCAGAUUGACUUUUGUUUUUAAAAUUGACCAGAGUUCUUCUCCAUUCUGUCAUAUAGGGUUUUAUUGUGCGGGAGGCGCUAAAACGGCUAUGCCUGAUGAUGGGGUUACAGGAAACAGGUGUCCGACGCGGUAUUACUGUCCACAGGGGUGUACUUCCCCUCUGCACUGCCCUGA
Cyprinus carpio (common carp) is the source of this 1497-nucleotide long non-coding RNA. RefSeq lists it as uncharacterized. Lineage: Eukaryota; Metazoa; Chordata; Actinopteri; Cypriniformes; Cyprinidae. The transcript has 6 exons. The record is from RefSeq and is a predicted model, not a curated record.